Molecule: non-coding RNA, 134 nt
Organism: Drosophila melanogaster (fruit fly)
Lineage: Eukaryota; Metazoa; Arthropoda; Insecta; Diptera; Drosophilidae
Source: Ensembl
UCUCUGGCAGCUGCAGUUCCGUUUCCGGAGCGGGAUCUGGAACGGGCUCUGGUUCUAGAUCAGGAUCCAAUCAUGCACCCGGUCCAGGUACCGCUCCAGGUCCCGUUCCCGGAAACGGUGCCACCGCCAAUGCA